UCCCUAGUGGCUCAACUGUAAAGCAUCUGUCUGCAAUGCAGGAGAGCCGGGUUCGAUCCCUGGGUUGGGAA
This 71-nucleotide transfer RNA is filed under the name Ovis aries (sheep). It matches the Rfam family "tRNA". From Rfam's summary of the family: Transfer RNA (tRNA) molecules are approximately 80 nucleotides in length. Lineage: Eukaryota; Metazoa; Chordata; Mammalia; Artiodactyla; Bovidae. The record is from Rfam by way of RNAcentral.